This 178-nucleotide non-coding RNA is filed under the name Zoogloeaceae bacterium. Its description in RNAcentral is "6S RNA". It matches the Rfam family "6S / SsrS RNA". From Rfam's summary of the family: E. coli 6S RNA was the first non coding RNA to be sequenced, but its function was unknown until recently. It consists of 184 nucleotides that fold into an extended hairpin structure with a large single-stranded internal bulge. The record is from RNAcentral. Lineage: Bacteria; Pseudomonadati; Pseudomonadota; Betaproteobacteria; Rhodocyclales; Zoogloeaceae.
UGUCCCCUGCGGUGUUGGUUAAGACCUAUAUUCCUUGAACCAAUGCUUGCUUGGCAUCGGCUGCGGACAUGACGUCGAUGUUGUGAACAACUCUCGUGGUUGUUCCUGAUUUGACUGGAACGCGGCCACUCUGAACUUCGGUUCAGGAUGCCGGUCUGACGGCACUCGCGGGGGCCAA